CUCCUUUUUCAGAUUUAUGUGGGAGAUGAAUACUACAUAUUAAAAAGCACACCCGGGUCCUAUAUACAUACUACAGCACAAAAAAGCUUUCCCAAGUACAAAACAAAACACCCUAAAUCUACCCAACCCGGGCAGGAGGAUCGAACCCGGGUUCAGUUCAAAUAACCCCAAAGCAACCAUGCCCCAAACUUACCCUACCCGGGCAUGAUUAUCCCGCCCGGGCCCAGUUCAAAAACCAAAAGCCACAAACAGUUUCAUAAACAUUUCAAAACAAAAACCAAGAUCAAAACCCAAGCCCUUACAGUUAUACACAUACAGAUACAUAUACACGACCAAGAACUUUCAAACAAAGAUUCAAACUAAAACCCAGAUUCCCGAGAAAACACAACCCCAAACCAAGCGCAAACAUCGAAACCAUUUCGGAUUAAAAACACAAAAGCUACGAAACAUUACAUAACCACAACAAACACAAAACAUGGCAUACGAGCGAAGCACUAACGGAAUUCGAAAACUACGAGUGCAAUAUCAAGCACACAUCAAAGCAACACAAUAUGGAAAGAAGAAGCAAGAGCGGGUCACUUACUAGGUACGAAAGCGGAGGAGAGAAACAAAAAACUGCAAGCACCAACCGACGAAAAUUCCGGCGAGAAAUGAAGCACGAAGCACGAACGAGCGGUUUCGAAAAGAAAACAGAGAAAAACGAAGAAGCAAAAGUAAAAAAUAAAAAGCAUGAAGGAAGCCCGUACUUAUAGUCACAUCUUGUGACACGUGGCAAUCUCCCAUUCGACAAAAUAAGUAAUUACGGCUGUAAUUAUUACAAACCCCUCAAAAGACGUGCCUUUUCAAGUUUCAAGAUAAAGAAACGGUUCAGACAGAAACCUUUUGAAAUUCCUCGGGGAGAGCUGCCGAUUCGCUUACUCUAGACCCGGGUAUCAUCACCGUACCCGGACCCACUUGCCAACCAGGACAAGGGAAUAGAGCACCGCCGAUACCCGAGUCCAGGGCAAAGCACAACCUAUAUCCGGGUUCACCCAGUCAGAGCGGCUUCGGCAAAGCUCCCACCUCCAUCUCAACCUGGAUCUAUCCGGGCAGGGGGGCAAACACAAACCUCCACAUCUACCCGGAUCCACUCAGCCGAAGGAGCAAAAGCAAAAACUCCACUUACUCCCUCACAUAGAGAAUCUAUAUAAGGGAGUGGGGGGCAAAUGAUAUGGUGUAACCCGGAUUGAAGAACCCGGACAUACGUUGAGAACCCCGGUCCCCGGGAAACCACCAGCAACAGAGCACGAUCUACCAGCCCUACGAGGACACACCGCCGGGGUAGGAUACAAGACCCGGGUAACUCCUAACCACACCCCUCGACCGGGGUCCAAACAUGUACCAGCCGACAGCUACUGCACGAGCCACAGACUGACACGAUGAAGACAAAUAUAACGGUCAACUACUGGCGAUAGAGACAACCCAGAGAACAUUCCAAAAUACUACUUCUACGCUGACACCUGGACACGUGUAGGGGAUCAAACCCCUACACGUGUAGGACCAGGAUCCAGGUACGCACCCCCGAACCCUAAUCCUUGGCCUAUAAAUAGACCAAGGAUCAAGAGUCUGGGGG
Molecule: long non-coding RNA, 1612 nt
Filed under: Daucus carota (carrot)
Lineage: Eukaryota; Viridiplantae; Streptophyta; Magnoliopsida; Apiales; Apiaceae
Description: long non-coding RNA (DCAR_LNC000743)
Source: RNAcentral